Molecule: transfer RNA, 97 nt
Filed under: Streptomyces platensis
Lineage: Bacteria; Bacillati; Actinomycetota; Actinomycetes; Kitasatosporales; Streptomycetaceae
Description: tRNA-Ser
Source: RNAcentral
CGCCUUGGUGUCGAGGGCGCGCGGGUCGGUGUCCGCGUGGAGGUCGGAGAGACGGUGGGCGAGCCAACCGAUGGUGUUCGACUUGCCCGAGCCGGCC